This 465-nucleotide ribosomal RNA is filed under the name uncultured bacterium. RNAcentral's name for it is "bacterial SSU rRNA". It matches the Rfam family "Bacterial small subunit ribosomal RNA", at positions 338 to 795 of the family's 1533-position model. The record is from RNAcentral.
CCUACGGGCUGCAGCAGUGGGGAAUAUUGCACAAUGGGCGCGAGCCUGAUGCAGCCAUGCCGCGUGUGUGAAGAAGGCCUUCGGGUUGUAAAGCACUUUCAGCGGGGAGGAAAGCGUUAAGGUUAAUAACCUUGGCGAUUGACGUUACCCGCAGAAGAAGCACCGGCUAACUCCGUGCCAGCAGCCGCGGUAAUACGGAGGGUGCAAGCGUUAAUCGGGAUUACUAGGCGUAAAGCGCACGCAGGCGGUCUGUCAAGUCGGAUGUGAAAUCCCCGGGCUCAACCUGGGAACUGCAUUCGAAACUGGCAGGCUAGAGUCUUGUAGAGGGGGGUAGAAUUCCAGGUGUAGCGGUGAAAUGCGUAGAGAUCUGGAGGAAUACCGGUGGCGAAGGCGGCCCCCUGGAUAAAGACUGACGCUCAGGUGCGAAAGCGUGGGGAGCAAACAGGAUUAGAUACCCGCGUAGUC